AACCAAUCCUAUAUCAAUUUUGAUGACUUGGAGUUCAUCGAGACUAUGAAUAAUGGAGGACGGUCGGCAGGAGCGGCAGCAAUUUUGGAUGAUUGUUAUUUUGUUGCUUCUGAUUUUUCUGUGUCCAAGUUUGAACAUUGUAAUAGAGAGGCAAAUAAAGUAGCUCAUGAACUUGCUUGGUUGGCUAGAUUUUCUGAUACUGUUGAUUGGAUUGAGGAGCCAUUGAAUGAAAUUGUACCCUUCCUCUUAAACAAUUUAUCAGUUAUUUCGAUUGAAUAA
RNAcentral lists this ribosomal RNA (279 nucleotides) under Triticum aestivum (bread wheat). RNAcentral describes it as "partial small subunit ribosomal RNA". The record is from RNAcentral. Lineage: Eukaryota; Viridiplantae; Streptophyta; Magnoliopsida; Poales; Poaceae.